CUAUCCAAGAACGUGCCCACAAUAACAU
RNAcentral lists this small RNA (28 nucleotides) under Bombyx mori (domestic silkworm). RNAcentral's name for it is "ovarian small RNA-14644". The record is from RNAcentral. Lineage: Eukaryota; Metazoa; Arthropoda; Insecta; Lepidoptera; Bombycidae.